AACGAACGCUGGCGGCAUGCCUAACACAUGCAAGUCGAACGAGACCUUCGGGUCUAGUGGCGCACGGGUGCGUAACGCGUGGGAACCUGCCCUUAGGUUCGGAAUAACUCCCCGAAAGGGGUGCUAAUACCGGAUAAUGUCUUCGGACCAAAGAUUUAUCGCCUUUGGAUGGGCCCGCGUUGGAUUAGCUAGUUGGUAGGGUAAAAGCCUACCAAGGCGACGAUCCAUAGCUGGUCUGAGAGGAUGAUCAGCCACACUGGGACUGAGACACGGCCCAGACCCAGAGGGGAGGCAGAAGGGGGGAUUAUUGAACAAGGGGCAAAGGCUAAACACAGCAAUGCCGCGGGAGUGAGAAAGCCCUUAGGGUUGAAAACCUUUUUUACCCGGAAUGAUAAGGACGGAACCGGGAAAAUAAGCCCCGGCAAACCCCGUC
RNAcentral lists this ribosomal RNA (433 nucleotides) under uncultured bacterium. Its description in RNAcentral is "partial 16S ribosomal RNA". It matches the Rfam family "Bacterial small subunit ribosomal RNA", at positions 29 to 507 of the family's 1533-position model. The record is from RNAcentral.